RNAcentral lists this ribosomal RNA (497 nucleotides) under uncultured bacterium. RNAcentral describes it as "partial 16S ribosomal RNA". It matches the Rfam family "Bacterial small subunit ribosomal RNA", at positions 28 to 507 of the family's 1533-position model. The record is from RNAcentral.
GAUGAACGCUGGCGGCGUGCCUAAUACAUGCAAGUCGAGCGAACAGACGAGGAGCUUGCUCCUUUGACUUCAGCGGCGGACGGGUGAGUAACACGUGGUUAACCUACCUAUAAGACUGGGAUAACUUCGGGAAACCGGAGCUAAUACCGGAUAAUAUUUCGAACCGCAUGGUUCGAUAGUGAAAGAUGGCUCUGCUAUCACUUAUAGAUGUACCUGCGCCGUAUUAGCUAGUUGGUAAGGUAACGGCUUACCAAGGCAACGAUACGUAGCCGACCUGAGAGGGUGAUCGGCCACACUGGAACUGAGACACGGUCCAGACUCCUACGGGAGGCAGCAGUAGGGAAUCUUCCGCAAUGGGCGAAAGCCUGACGGAGCAACGCCGCGUGAGUGAUGAAGGUCUUCGGAUCGUAAAACUCUGUUAUUAGGGAAGAACAAACGUGUAAGUAACUGUGCACGUCUUGACGGUACCUAAUCAGAAAGCCACGGCUAACUACGUG